This 440-nucleotide ribosomal RNA is filed under the name uncultured bacterium. Its description in RNAcentral is "partial 16S ribosomal RNA". It matches the Rfam family "Bacterial small subunit ribosomal RNA", at positions 338 to 795 of the family's 1533-position model. The record is from RNAcentral.
CCUACGGGUGGCAGCAGUGGGGAAUAUUGCACAAUGGGGGGAACCCUGAUGCAGCAAUGCCGCGUGGGUGAAGAAGCACUCCGGUGCGUAAAGCCCUGUCAGCAGGGAAGAAAAUGACAGUACCUGGACAAGAAGCCCCGGCUAACUACGUCCCAGCAGCCGCGGUAAUACGUAGGGGGCAAGCGUUAUCCGGAUUUACUGGGUGUAAAGGGAGCGCAGGCGGCGUGGCAAGUCAGCUGUGAAAACCCGGGGCCCAACCCCGGGAGUGCAUUUGAAACUGACAGGCUGGAGUGCCGGAGAGGUAAGCGGAAUUCGUGGUGUAGCGGUGAAAUGCGUAGAUAUUACGAAGAACACCGAUGGCGGAGGCAGCUUACUGGACGGUAACUGACGCUGAGGCUCGAAAGCGUGGGGAGCAAACAGGAUUAGAUACCCGUGUAGUC